RNAcentral lists this ribosomal RNA (825 nucleotides) under uncultured bacterium. Its description in RNAcentral is "bacterial SSU rRNA". It matches the Rfam family "Bacterial small subunit ribosomal RNA", at positions 54 to 876 of the family's 1533-position model. The record is from RNAcentral.
CAUGCAAGUCGAGCGGAUGAGAGGAGCUUGCUCCUUGAUUUAGCGGCGGACGGGUGAGUAAUGCCUAGGAAUCUGCCUGGUAGUGGGGGAUAACGUCCGGAAACGGGCGCUAAUACCGCAUACGUCCUACGGGAGAAAGCAGGGGACCUUCGGGCCUUGCGCUAUCAGAUGAGCCUAGGUCGGAUUAGCUAGUUGGUGAGGUAAUGGCUCACCAAGGCGACGAUCCGUAACUGGUCUGAGAGGAUGAUCAGUCACACUGGAACUGAGACACGGUCCAGACUCCUACGGGAGGCAGCAGUGGGGAAUAUUGGACAAUGGGCGAAAGCCUGAUCCAGCCAUGCCGCGUGUGUGAAGAAGGUCUUCGGAUUGUAAAGCACUUUAAGUUGGGAGGAAGGGCAUUAACCUAAUACGUUAGUGUUUUGACGUUACCGACAGAAUAAGCACCGGCUAACUUCGUGCCAGCAGCCGCGGUAAUACGAAGGGUGCAAGCGUUAAUCGGAAUUACUGGGCGUAAAGCGCGCGUAGGUGGUUCGUUAAGUUGGAUGUGAAAGCCCCGGGCUCAACCUGGGAACUGCAUCCAAAACUGGCGAGCUAGAGUACGGUAGAGGGUGGUGGAAUUUCCUGUGUAGCGGUGAAAUGCGUAGAUAUAGGAAGGAACACCAGUGGCGAAGGCGACCACCUGGACUGAUACUGACACUGAGGUGCGAAAGCGUGGGGAGCAAACAGGAUUAGAUACCCUGGUAGUCCACGCCGUAAACGAUGUCAACUAGCCGUUGGGUUCCUUGAGAACUUAGUGGCGCAGCUAACGCAUUAAGUGCCGCCUGA